Molecule: non-coding RNA, 100 nt
Filed under: Rhodovulum sp.
Lineage: Bacteria; Pseudomonadati; Pseudomonadota; Alphaproteobacteria; Rhodobacterales; Paracoccaceae
Description: TPP sequence
Rfam family: TPP riboswitch aptamer (THI element)
About the family: Vitamin B(1) in its active form thiamin pyrophosphate (TPP) is an essential coenzyme that is synthesised by coupling of pyrimidine and thiazole moieties in bacteria.
Source: RNAcentral
GGCGAUACCUCGGGGUGCCCUGUCAGGGCUGAGAUGCGUCCGCGAACCCGUUGAACCUGAACCGGUUAAGACCGGCGGAGGGAAGGUAACUGGACAAACU